RNA transcript from Homo sapiens (human), 5306 nucleotides. It is a transcript of the gene named CD47 molecule, with no coding region annotated. The transcript has 11 exons. The record is from RefSeq and is marked reviewed. Lineage: Eukaryota; Metazoa; Chordata; Mammalia; Primates; Hominidae.
GCAGCCUGGGCAGUGGGUCCUGCCUGUGACGCGCGGCGGCGGUCGGUCCUGCCUGUAACGGCGGCGGCGGCUGCUGCUCCGGACACCUGCGGCGGCGGCGGCGACCCCGCGGCGGGCGCGGAGAUGUGGCCCCUGGUAGCGGCGCUGUUGCUGGGCUCGGCGUGCUGCGGAUCAGCUCAGCUACUAUUUAAUAAAACAAAAUCUGUAGAAUUCACGUUUUGUAAUGACACUGUCGUCAUUCCAUGCUUUGUUACUAAUAUGGAGGCACAAAACACUACUGAAGUAUACGUAAAGUGGAAAUUUAAAGGAAGAGAUAUUUACACCUUUGAUGGAGCUCUAAACAAGUCCACUGUCCCCACUGACUUUAGUAGUGCAAAAAUUGAAGUCUCACAAUUACUAAAAGGAGAUGCCUCUUUGAAGAUGGAUAAGAGUGAUGCUGUCUCACACACAGGAAACUACACUUGUGAAGUAACAGAAUUAACCAGAGAAGGUGAAACGAUCAUCGAGCUAAAAUAUCGUGUUGUUUCAUGGUUUUCUCCAAAUGAAAAUAUUCUUAUUGUUAUUUUCCCAAUUUUUGCUAUACUCCUGUUCUGGGGACAGUUUGGUAUUAAAACACUUAAAUAUAGAUCCGGUGGUAUGGAUGAGAAAACAAUUGCUUUACUUGUUGCUGGACUAGUGAUCACUGUCAUUGUCAUUGUUGGAGCCAUUCUUUUCGUCCCAGGUGAAUAUUCAUUAAAGAAUGCUACUGGCCUUGGUUUAAUUGUGACUUCUACAGGGAUAUUAAUAUUACUUCACUACUAUGUGUUUAGUACAGCGAUUGGAUUAACCUCCUUCGUCAUUGCCAUAUUGGUUAUUCAGGUGAUAGCCUAUAUCCUCGCUGUGGUUGGACUGAGUCUCUGUAUUGCGGCGUGUAUACCAAUGCAUGGCCCUCUUCUGAUUUCAGGUUUGAGUAUCUUAGCUCUAGCACAAUUACUUGGACUAGUUUAUAUGAAAUUUGUGGGGUUCAGAGGGACACCUACAGUCAGUUGAAAGGCAAGAAGAGACAAGCUUCCAAUCAGAAGACUAUACAACCUCCUAGGAAAGCUGUAGAGGAACCCCUUAAUGAAUAACUGAAGUGAAGUGAUGGACUCCGAUUUGGAGAGUAGUAAGACGUGAAAGGAAUACACUUGUGUUUAAGCACCAUGGCCUUGAUGAUUCACUGUUGGGGAGAAGAAACAAGAAAAGUAACUGGUUGUCACCUAUGAGACCCUUACGUGAUUGUUAGUUAAGUUUUUAUUCAAAGCAGCUGUAAUUUAGUUAAUAAAAUAAUUAUGAUCUAUGUUGUUUGCCCAAUUGAGAUCCAGUUUUUUGUUGUUAUUUUUAAUCAAUUAGGGGCAAUAGUAGAAUGGACAAUUUCCAAGAAUGAUGCCUUUCAGGUCCUAGGGCCUCUGGCCUCUAGGUAACCAGUUUAAAUUGGUUCAGGGUGAUAACUACUUAGCACUGCCCUGGUGAUUACCCAGAGAUAUCUAUGAAAACCAGUGGCUUCCAUCAAACCUUUGCCAACUCAGGUUCACAGCAGCUUUGGGCAGUUAUGGCAGUAUGGCAUUAGCUGAGAGGUGUCUGCCACUUCUGGGUCAAUGGAAUAAUAAAUUAAGUACAGGCAGGAAUUUGGUUGGGAGCAUCUUGUAUGAUCUCCGUAUGAUGUGAUAUUGAUGGAGAUAGUGGUCCUCAUUCUUGGGGGUUGCCAUUCCCACAUUCCCCCUUCAACAAACAGUGUAACAGGUCCUUCCCAGAUUUAGGGUACUUUUAUUGAUGGAUAUGUUUUCCUUUUAUUCACAUAACCCCUUGAAACCCUGUCUUGUCCUCCUGUUACUUGCUUCUGCUGUACAAGAUGUAGCACCUUUUCUCCUCUUUGAACAUGGUCUAGUGACACGGUAGCACCAGUUGCAGGAAGGAGCCAGACUUGUUCUCAGAGCACUGUGUUCACACUUUUCAGCAAAAAUAGCUAUGGUUGUAACAUAUGUAUUCCCUUCCUCUGAUUUGAAGGCAAAAAUCUACAGUGUUUCUUCACUUCUUUUCUGAUCUGGGGCAUGAAAAAAGCAAGAUUGAAAUUUGAACUAUGAGUCUCCUGCAUGGCAACAAAAUGUGUGUCACCAUCAGGCCAACAGGCCAGCCCUUGAAUGGGGAUUUAUUACUGUUGUAUCUAUGUUGCAUGAUAAACAUUCAUCACCUUCCUCCUGUAGUCCUGCCUCGUACUCCCCUUCCCCUAUGAUUGAAAAGUAAACAAAACCCACAUUUCCUAUCCUGGUUAGAAGAAAAUUAAUGUUCUGACAGUUGUGAUCGCCUGGAGUACUUUUAGACUUUUAGCAUUCGUUUUUUACCUGUUUGUGGAUGUGUGUUUGUAUGUGCAUACGUAUGAGAUAGGCACAUGCAUCUUCUGUAUGGACAAAGGUGGGGUACCUACAGGAGAGCAAAGGUUAAUUUUGUGCUUUUAGUAAAAACAUUUAAAUACAAAGUUCUUUAUUGGGUGGAAUUAUAUUUGAUGCAAAUAUUUGAUCACUUAAAACUUUUAAAACUUCUAGGUAAUUUGCCACGCUUUUUGACUGCUCACCAAUACCCUGUAAAAAUACGUAAUUCUUCCUGUUUGUGUAAUAAGAUAUUCAUAUUUGUAGUUGCAUUAAUAAUAGUUAUUUCUUAGUCCAUCAGAUGUUCCCGUGUGCCUCUUUUAUGCCAAAUUGAUUGUCAUAUUUCAUGUUGGGACCAAGUAGUUUGCCCAUGGCAAACCUAAAUUUAUGACCUGCUGAGGCCUCUCAGAAAACUGAGCAUACUAGCAAGACAGCUCUUCUUGAAAAAAAAAAUAUGUAUACACAAAUAUAUACGUAUAUCUAUAUAUACGUAUGUAUAUACACACAUGUAUAUUCUUCCUUGAUUGUGUAGCUGUCCAAAAUAAUAACAUAUAUAGAGGGAGCUGUAUUCCUUUAUACAAAUCUGAUGGCUCCUGCAGCACUUUUUCCUUCUGAAAAUAUUUACAUUUUGCUAACCUAGUUUGUUACUUUAAAAAUCAGUUUUGAUGAAAGGAGGGAAAAGCAGAUGGACUUGAAAAAGAUCCAAGCUCCUAUUAGAAAAGGUAUGAAAAUCUUUAUAGUAAAAUUUUUUAUAAACUAAAGUUGUACCUUUUAAUAUGUAGUAAACUCUCAUUUAUUUGGGGUUCGCUCUUGGAUCUCAUCCAUCCAUUGUGUUCUCUUUAAUGCUGCCUGCCUUUUGAGGCAUUCACUGCCCUAGACAAUGCCACCAGAGAUAGUGGGGGAAAUGCCAGAUGAAACCAACUCUUGCUCUCACUAGUUGUCAGCUUCUCUGGAUAAGUGACCACAGAAGCAGGAGUCCUCCUGCUUGGGCAUCAUUGGGCCAGUUCCUUCUCUUUAAAUCAGAUUUGUAAUGGCUCCCAAAUUCCAUCACAUCACAUUUAAAUUGCAGACAGUGUUUUGCACAUCAUGUAUCUGUUUUGUCCCAUAAUAUGCUUUUUACUCCCUGAUCCCAGUUUCUGCUGUUGACUCUUCCAUUCAGUUUUAUUUAUUGUGUGUUCUCACAGUGACACCAUUUGUCCUUUUCUGCAACAACCUUUCCAGCUACUUUUGCCAAAUUCUAUUUGUCUUCUCCUUCAAAACAUUCUCCUUUGCAGUUCCUCUUCAUCUGUGUAGCUGCUCUUUUGUCUCUUAACUUACCAUUCCUAUAGUACUUUAUGCAUCUCUGCUUAGUUCUAUUAGUUUUUUGGCCUUGCUCUUCUCCUUGAUUUUAAAAUUCCUUCUAUAGCUAGAGCUUUUCUUUCUUUCAUUCUCUCUUCCUGCAGUGUUUUGCAUACAUCAGAAGCUAGGUACAUAAGUUAAAUGAUUGAGAGUUGGCUGUAUUUAGAUUUAUCACUUUUUAAUAGGGUGAGCUUGAGAGUUUUCUUUCUUUCUGUUUUUUUUUUUUGUUUUUUUUUUUUUUUUUUUUUUUUUUUUUUUUGACUAAUUUCACAUGCUCUAAAAACCUUCAAAGGUGAUUAUUUUUCUCCUGGAAACUCCAGGUCCAUUCUGUUUAAAUCCCUAAGAAUGUCAGAAUUAAAAUAACAGGGCUAUCCCGUAAUUGGAAAUAUUUCUUUUUUCAGGAUGCUAUAGUCAAUUUAGUAAGUGACCACCAAAUUGUUAUUUGCACUAACAAAGCUCAAAACACGAUAAGUUUACUCCUCCAUCUCAGUAAUAAAAAUUAAGCUGUAAUCAACCUUCUAGGUUUCUCUUGUCUUAAAAUGGGUAUUCAAAAAUGGGGAUCUGUGGUGUAUGUAUGGAAACACAUACUCCUUAAUUUACCUGUUGUUGGAAACUGGAGAAAUGAUUGUCGGGCAACCGUUUAUUUUUUAUUGUAUUUUAUUUGGUUGAGGGAUUUUUUUAUAAACAGUUUUACUUGUGUCAUAUUUUAAAAUUACUAACUGCCAUCACCUGCUGGGGUCCUUUGUUAGGUCAUUUUCAGUGACUAAUAGGGAUAAUCCAGGUAACUUUGAAGAGAUGAGCAGUGAGUGACCAGGCAGUUUUUCUGCCUUUAGCUUUGACAGUUCUUAAUUAAGAUCAUUGAAGACCAGCUUUCUCAUAAAUUUCUCUUUUUGAAAAAAAGAAAGCAUUUGUACUAAGCUCCUCUGUAAGACAACAUCUUAAAUCUUAAAAGUGUUGUUAUCAUGACUGGUGAGAGAAGAAAACAUUUUGUUUUUAUUAAAUGGAGCAUUAUUUACAAAAAGCCAUUGUUGAGAAUUAGAUCCCACAUCGUAUAAAUAUCUAUUAACCAUUCUAAAUAAAGAGAACUCCAGUGUUGCUAUGUGCAAGAUCCUCUCUUGGAGCUUUUUUGCAUAGCAAUUAAAGGUGUGCUAUUUGUCAGUAGCCAUUUUUUUGCAGUGAUUUGAAGACCAAAGUUGUUUUACAGCUGUGUUACCGUUAAAGGUUUUUUUUUUUAUAUGUAUUAAAUCAAUUUAUCACUGUUUAAAGCUUUGAAUAUCUGCAAUCUUUGCCAAGGUACUUUUUUAUUUAAAAAAAAACAUAACUUUGUAAAUAUUACCCUGUAAUAUUAUAUAUACUUAAUAAAACAUUUUAAGCUAUUUUGUUGGGCUAUUUCUAUUGCUGCUACAGCAGACCACAAGCACAUUUCUGAAAAAUUUAAUUUAUUAAUGUAUUUUUAAGUUGCUUAUAUUCUAGGUAACAAUGUAAAGAAUGAUUUAAAAUAUUAAUUAUGAAUUUUUUGAGUAUAAUACCCAAUAAGCUUUUAAUUAGAGCAGAGUUUUAAUUAAAAGUUUUAAAUCAGUCCAA